CGUGGCAAAAGUAGUCCACUGAUUUCCGCUGUAGACUACUACAAUUAGAGACACGAUUUUAACCUGUAUUUGAUUAUAUUUUGGAAAAGUGAAGUACGCCGAAGUAUCUACUGGCGGUACCCGUUUGCUAUUUACCAUUUUCUGCAUUGAUUACUAUUAAUGAAUUACUUUGACAAUGAAGAAAACUUCAAAACGUGAUGAUUCCUAAGGCAAGUUCUGGAGACAUAAGGAGCGUCUUUUUUCUUUAUUCACGAUAGACAUCGAAGACACUCUGCUGGACAGACAGAGCUGCCCGGGUGGACACUUGAGAGGAAAUCUGAUGCAGUCCAGAGAAGAAACCAUCCGUCUUCAUCUUGAACACAAGAAACCUGCCAUACAAGAGGCCCUUGUUCCUACCACGCUCUACUCAACACAAGACAAGGAGAGUUGGCCUCUGGACGCCCCCUACUGGAGGAAAGAAGGCACGGCUCGCUUGUCGACCUGCUGACGCCUCAUGCGGACGACACCUGCGUCCACUCGCACUGCUGCUCUCUUGCCGUGCAGGUCAUCCAGCAGUUGCAGACAGGCGUGCUGCAGCCUCGCCAGCUCAGCCUCAGAGGACAUUAGACAUUGCUUCAGCACCGCACUGCUCUGAGAGACACACAGGAAACACAUUAAGCCUGAUUUCUGAUUCAGUGUUAAACCACUGAAUGCUUUUUUUAAAACAUAUGGUGUGAACAUCUGCCAAUACACACAGCAUACAUGCUUAUAUUAUUUGAAUAUGAAGGUGCUCUGGUUUACA
Molecule: long non-coding RNA, 781 nt
Organism: Seriola aureovittata
Lineage: Eukaryota; Metazoa; Chordata; Actinopteri; Carangiformes; Carangidae
Exons: 5
Source: RefSeq, a predicted model, not a curated record